UGAGGAAUCUUCCACAAUGGGCGCAAGCCUGAUGGAGCGACACCGCGUGAAGGAUGAAGACCUAACGGUUGUAAACUUCUUUUCUGAGGGAGCAUAAUGAGAGUACCUCAGGAAUAAGGGACGGCUAAAUACGUGCCAGCAGCCGCGGUAAUACGUAUGUCUCAAGCGUUAUCCGGAAUUACUGGGUGUAAAGAGUUCGUAGGUUGUUAAUUAAGUUAGGUAUGAAAGACCGGAGCUCAACUCCGUGUUUGUGCUUAAAACUGGUUAACUAGAAUUAGGGAGAGGUAAGCGGAAUUUUAAGUGUAGGGGUGCAAUCCGUAGAUACUUAGAAGAACACCAAAAGCGAAGGCAGCUUACUGGAACUAUAUUGACGCUGAGGAACGAAAGCGUGGGGAGCGAA
RNAcentral lists this ribosomal RNA (400 nucleotides) under uncultured bacterium. RNAcentral describes it as "bacterial SSU rRNA". It matches the Rfam family "Bacterial small subunit ribosomal RNA", at positions 355 to 772 of the family's 1533-position model. The record is from RNAcentral.